AGGGUUCGAUUCUGGCUCAGGAUGAACGCUAGCGACAGGCUAACACAUGCAAGUCGAGGGGCAGCACGGGAGUAGCAAUACAACUGGUGGCGACCGGCGCACGGGUGAGUAACGCGUAUGCAACCUACCUAUCAGAGGGGAAUAACCCGGCGAAAGUCGGACUAAUACCGCAUAAAACAGGGGCACCGCAUGGUGAUAUUUGUUAAAGAAAUUCGCUGAUAGAUGGGCAUGCGUUCCAUUAGGUAGUUGGUGAGGUAGCGGCUCACCAAGCCGACGAUGGAUAGGGGAACUGAGAGGUUGGUCCCCCACACUGGUACUGAGACACGGACCAGACUCCUACGGGAGGCAGCAGUGAGGAAUAUUGGUCAAUGGGCGGGAGCCUGAACCAGCCAAGUCCGCGUGAAGGAAGAAGGAUCUAUGGUUCGUAAACUUCUUUUGCGAGGGGAAUAAAGUGCAGGACGUGUCCUUGUUUUGUAUGUACCCUGAGAAUAAGGAUCGGCUAACUCCGUGCCAGCCGCGGC
RNAcentral lists this ribosomal RNA (521 nucleotides) under uncultured bacterium. RNAcentral describes it as "bacterial SSU rRNA". It matches the Rfam family "Bacterial small subunit ribosomal RNA", at positions 8 to 518 of the family's 1533-position model. The record is from RNAcentral.